This 378-nucleotide unclassified non-coding RNA is filed under the name plant metagenome. Its description in RNAcentral is "partial contains 5.8S ribosomal RNA, internal transcribed spacer 2, and large subunit ribosomal RNA". The stretch from base 1 to 105 matches the Rfam family "5.8S ribosomal RNA", at positions 50 to 154 of the family's 154-position model. The record is from RNAcentral.
GAAAUGCGAUAAGUAGUGUGAAUUGCAGAAUUCAGUGAAUCAUCGAAUCUUUGAACGCACAUUGCGCCUUCCGGCAUUCCGGGAGGCAUGCCUGUUUGAGUAUCAUGAAAUCUUCAAAGUAAAUCUUUUGUUAACUCAAUUGGUUUCUACUUUGGUAUUGGAGGUCUUUGCAGCUUCACACCUGCUCCUCUUUGUUCAUUAGCUGGAUCUCAGUGUUAUGCUUGGUUCCACUCGGCGUGAUAAGUUAUCUAUCGCUGAGGACACUGUAAAAGGUGGCCAAGGUAAAUGCAGAUGAACCGCUUCUAAUAGUCCAUUGACUUGGACAAUACUUUUAUGAUCUGAUCUCAAAUCAGGUAGGACUACCCGCUGAACUUAAGC